CAGUACAUUUUGAUACUCUCGGGAUUAAUGGAUAACUUGGAAGCAUGGGCAGUCUUGAGUUCAUCAUCCGAGAUCCUAAAAUUAGGAGAUUUGUCAAAAGUAAACUUACCCAGAUUCUUGAUGAGUUCUGGGUCUGUGGCGUGUGCUUCCUAGAUCUAUAUAAAGAGAUUCGGUAUGGCUCAUAUCUGGGUGAGAUAGGUGCCUUUACCGUAAUAGCUAAGGCAGAGCGAUUGUACAAUGUCCAUUGUCUUCCAACUGAAGGCUAUGGUUUGAGCCAGCACAGCAGGCUCCUUUCG
This 296-nucleotide long non-coding RNA is filed under the name Carica papaya (papaya). RNAcentral describes it as "long non-coding RNA (CPAP_LNC001529)". Lineage: Eukaryota; Viridiplantae; Streptophyta; Magnoliopsida; Brassicales; Caricaceae. The record is from RNAcentral.